RNAcentral lists this ribosomal RNA (434 nucleotides) under uncultured bacterium. RNAcentral describes it as "partial 16S ribosomal RNA". It matches the Rfam family "Bacterial small subunit ribosomal RNA", at positions 29 to 507 of the family's 1533-position model. The record is from RNAcentral.
AGCGAACGCUGGCGGCAGGCCUAACACAUGCAAGUCGAACGAACCUUUCGGGGUUAGUGGCGGACGGGUGAGUAACACGUGGGAACGUGCCUUUAGGUUCGGAAUAACUCAGGUAAACUUGUGCUAAUACCGAAUGUGCCCUUCGGGGGAAAGAUUAAUCGCCGUUAGAGCGGCCCGCGUCUGAUUAGCUAGUUGGUUGAGGUAAUGGCUCACCAAGGCGACGAUCAGUAGCUGGUCUGAGAGGAUGAUCAGCCACAUUGGGACUGAGACACGGCCCAAACUCCUACGGGAGGGAGCAGUGGGGAAUCUUGCGCAAUGGGCGAAAGCGUGACGCAGCCAUGCCGCGUGAAUGAUGAAGGUCUUAGGAUUGUAAAAUUCUUUCACCGGGGACGAUAAUGACGGUACCCGGAGAAGAAGCCCCGGCUAACUUCGUG